CUUUCUUUCUCUCAGGAAUCACGAUUGCAGCCUCUCUCUUUCCCUUCUCGCUCUUGGUCCUCCCCUCCUCACUAUGUUGUUUGUUUCUAAGUAUCGAUCCUAAAAUCCCUGUGUAGAUAUCACUCGAUUUCUCUCUACUUGCUAUCAUUGUAUUGUCAAACAAAGAAGAAGAAGAAGAAUCAGGUGGAUUUCAUUUUCAGAAGAUGAUUUCACUUCAGUAACGUUUGUUGAUUUCCCUCAUUUAUAUUUUAUGUGUUUUGAAUAUUUGAUUUCGUGGGAUUUUAUUAUUGAUUUUAUUGUUUUUCAUUGCUAGUUUUGUGGUUUUGAAUAUUUGAUUUUCUAGGGUUUUAUUAUUGAUUUUGUGGG
Molecule: unclassified non-coding RNA, 366 nt
Filed under: Hevea brasiliensis (rubber tree)
Lineage: Eukaryota; Viridiplantae; Streptophyta; Magnoliopsida; Malpighiales; Euphorbiaceae
Source: RNAcentral